UGGGGAAUUUUGGACGAAUUGGGCGAAAGCCUGAUCCAGCAAUGCCGCGUGUGUGAAGAAGGCCUUCGGGUUGUAAAGCACUUUUGUCCGGAAAGAAAUCCUUGGCUCUAAUACAGUCGGGGGAUGACGGUACCGGAAGAAUAAGCACCGGCUAACUACGUGCCAGCAGCCGCGGUAAUACGUAGGGUGCAAGCGUUAAUCGGAAUUACUGGGCGUAAAGCGUGCGCAGGCGGUUUGCUAAGACCGAUGUGAAAUCCCCGGGCUCAACCUGGGAACUGCAUUGGUGACUGGCAGGGCUAGAGUAUGGCAGAGGGGGGUAGAAUUCCACGUGUAGCAGUGAAAUGCGUAGAGAUGUGGAGGAAUACCGAUGGCGAAGGCAGCCCCCUGGG
This 389-nucleotide ribosomal RNA is filed under the name uncultured bacterium. Its description in RNAcentral is "partial 16S ribosomal RNA". It matches the Rfam family "Bacterial small subunit ribosomal RNA", at positions 355 to 733 of the family's 1533-position model. The record is from RNAcentral.